GGCGACGUGGCCAAGUGGUAAGGCAUAGGUCUGCAAAACCUUGAUCACGGGUUCGAAUCCCGUCGUCGCCU
RNAcentral lists this transfer RNA (71 nucleotides) under Anaerolineae bacterium. RNAcentral's name for it is "tRNA-Cys". It matches the Rfam family "tRNA". Rfam says of the family: Transfer RNA (tRNA) molecules are approximately 80 nucleotides in length. Their secondary structure includes four short double-helical elements and three loops (D, anti-codon, and T loops). Lineage: Bacteria; Bacillati; Chloroflexota; Anaerolineae. The record is from RNAcentral.